GACGAACGCUGGCGGCGUGCUUAACACAUGCAAGUCGAACGGAAAGGCCCUGCUUGCAGGGUACUCGAGUGGCGAACGGGUGAGUAACACGUGGGUGAUCUGCCCUGCACUUCGGGAUAAGCCUGGGAAACUGGGUCUAAUACCGGAUAGGAGCCAUUUUUAGUGUGAUGGUUGGAAAGUUUUUUCGGUGUAGGAUGAGCUCGCGGCCUAUCAGCUUGUUGGUGGGGUAAUGGCCUACCAAGGCGGCGACGGGUAGCCGGCCUGAGAGGGUGGACGGCCACAUUGGGACUGAGAUACGGCCCAGACUCCUACGGGAGGCAGCAGUGGGGAAUAGUGCACAAUGGGCGCAAGCCUGAUGCAGCGACGCCGCGCGGGGGAUGACGGCCUUCGGGUUGUAAACUCCUUUCGCUAGGGACGAAGCUUUUUGUGACGGUACCUAGAUAAGAAGCACCGGCUAACUACGUG
Molecule: ribosomal RNA, 465 nt
Filed under: uncultured bacterium
Lineage: Bacteria
Description: partial 16S ribosomal RNA
Rfam family: Bacterial small subunit ribosomal RNA
Source: RNAcentral